RNAcentral lists this ribosomal RNA (228 nucleotides) under Triticum aestivum (bread wheat). RNAcentral's name for it is "partial small subunit ribosomal RNA". Lineage: Eukaryota; Viridiplantae; Streptophyta; Magnoliopsida; Poales; Poaceae. The record is from RNAcentral.
AUGAGAUGCUUAUCUUGGAACUGUCACGGGCUUGGGAACCCGUAGACAGUUCGAGAACUUCACGAUCUAAUGAAGAUGGAAGGUCCCGCCUUGGUCUUCUUGUGUGAGACGAAGAUCGAGGGGAAGCGUGUAAGAGAGUUGACGGCCAGGCUUGGUUUUGAAGGGUGCUACCCAGUGAGUAGUGAUGGGCUUAGCAGAGGUUUAGCUUUGUUCUGGUCAAAAGAAGUG